RNAcentral lists this long non-coding RNA (756 nucleotides) under Cavia porcellus (domestic guinea pig). Its description in RNAcentral is "lncRNA (ENSCPOG00000036972.1)". The record is from RNAcentral. Lineage: Eukaryota; Metazoa; Chordata; Mammalia; Rodentia; Caviidae.
UUGGUGGCUCUUACUCAGCUGGAACUGUAGUCAAUGAAGACCUAGAAAAGCAAGGAUGUCAUCCUUUUUAUGAAUCAGUCAUGGCGAAUCCCUUUGUUGCUGAGUCUGGCAUGCCCUUCGACACCUGUCAGCAGCCCCCUGUGGAGAGCUUUGCCAAGGGAGGUGCUGCUGAGGACUGGGAAACUGGCAGAGGCCGAGACAGAUGGGAAUGAAGGGUUUCCGACCACAGAAGUUCUCCUGCAGCUGGCGAGUGAUGCUUUGCCCAGUGACAUGACCUUGGCCCUCGCUUACCUCCUCGCCUUACCACAGGUGUUAGAUGCGAACAGGUACUUUGAGACGCAAGCACACUCAGCCCUGUCCCUCCAGCUGGCAGUGUACUACUACAGCCUCCAGAUCUACGCCCACCUGGUGCCUGGCUUCAGUGACAAGUGCCACCCUCUGUACAGAGCUGACCCCAAAGAGGUGAUCGGGAUGGUCACCAGGCACGUGACUCACUGUGGACUCAAAGCCUGGCCGGAGGCCCUGGCCCCACUCACCGCGCAGCUGCACCACUACAAUGAGCAGCUUCUGGACUUAACACAGGCACAGCUCCUGCAGGGCCUGGGGAAGGGCGUGGACGUGCAGCGCUUCACCACUGAUGACCAGUACAAGAGGGAGACCAUCCUUGGGCUGGCAGAAACGCUAGAGGAGACCGUGCAUAGCCUUGUGCUCUCCCUGCUCAGCGCUGCGGCAUCUCCUGCUGGGAAGUGUUCAUGA